RNAcentral lists this ribosomal RNA (237 nucleotides) under Triticum aestivum (bread wheat). Its description in RNAcentral is "partial small subunit ribosomal RNA". The record is from RNAcentral. Lineage: Eukaryota; Viridiplantae; Streptophyta; Magnoliopsida; Poales; Poaceae.
AUGGCGGCCAGGCUCCGAGCGGGAGCACCGGCGGGCGCUCUCCUCGUGGUGGCGUGCCUGCUUCUCGCGACGGCGGCGGCCGUGAGUGGCGCCAGGCCGCUCGCGGUGACCGUGGAAUCGCCGGCGGGCGAUGCUAUCCAGACGGUGGGGAGGGCCGUCGAGCGCAGGCUAAUGUUCGACGUCGGCAUUCUCCGCGGGAUCAAGGACUCCGGGCCCAGCCCCGGCGCCGGGCAUUAA